Molecule: transfer RNA, 63 nt
Filed under: Rubeoparvulum massiliense
Lineage: Bacteria; Bacillati; Bacillota; Bacilli; Caryophanales; Bacillaceae
Rfam family: tRNA
About the family: Transfer RNA (tRNA) molecules are approximately 80 nucleotides in length. Their secondary structure includes four short double-helical elements and three loops (D, anti-codon, and T loops).
Source: RNAcentral
AUUAGCUCAGUUGGUAGAGCACCUGACUUUUAAUCAGGGUGUCACAGGUUCAAAUCCUGUAUG